AGAGUUUGAUCAUGGCUCAGGAUGAACGCUGGCGGUAUGCUUAACACAUGCAAGUCGAACGGAUGUUUUCGGACAUUAGUGGCGGACGGGUGAGUAACGCGUGAGAAUCUAGCUUCAGGUUGGGGACAACAGUUGGAAACGACUGCUAAUACCGAAUAUGCCGAGAGGUGAAAGAUUAAUUGCCUGAAGAAGAGCUCGCGUCUGAUUAGCUAGUUGGUGGGGUAAGAGCUUACCAAGGCGACGAUCGGUAGCUGGUCUGAGAGGACGAUCAGCCACACUGGGACUGAGACACGGCCCAGACUCCUACGGGAGGCAGCAGUGGGGAAUUUUCCGCAAUGGGCGAAAGCCUGACGGAGCAAUACCGCGUGAGGGAAGAAGGCUCUUGGGUUGUAAACCUCUUUUCUUAGGGAAGAAAAAAAUGACGGUACCUAAGGAAUAAGCAUCGGCUAACUCCGUGCCAGCAGCCGCGGUAAUACGGAGGAUGCAAGCGUUAUCCGGAAUGAUUGGGCGUAAAGCGUCCGCAGGUGGUUUGUCAAGUUUGCGGUUAAAGGUUCUGGCUCAACCAGAGACAGGCCGUGAAAACUGAUAGACUAGAGUAUGGUAGGGGCAGAGGGAAUUCCCAGUGUAGCGGUGAAAUGCGUAGAGAUUGGGAAGAACACCGGUGGCGAAAGCGCUCUGCUAGGCCAAAACUGACACUGAGGGACGAAAGCUAGGGGAGCGAAUGGGAUUAGAUACCCCAGUAGUCC
Molecule: ribosomal RNA, 746 nt
Filed under: uncultured cyanobacterium
Lineage: Bacteria; Bacillati; Cyanobacteriota
Description: bacterial SSU rRNA
Rfam family: Bacterial small subunit ribosomal RNA
Source: RNAcentral